This 253-nucleotide ribosomal RNA is filed under the name uncultured bacterium. RNAcentral describes it as "partial 16S ribosomal RNA". It matches the Rfam family "Bacterial small subunit ribosomal RNA", at positions 524 to 776 of the family's 1533-position model. The record is from RNAcentral.
UACGGAGGGAGCUAGCGUUGUUCGGAAUUACUGGGCGUAAAGCGCACGUAGGCGGCUAUUCAAGUCAGGGGUGAAAUCCCGGGGCUCAACCCCGGAACUGCCUCUGAAACUAGGUAGCUAGAAUCUUGGAGAGGCGAGUGGAAUUCCGAGUGUAGAGGUGAAAUUCGUAGAUAUUCGGAAGAACACCAGUGGCGAAGGCGACUCGCUGGACAAGUAUUGACGCUGAGGUGCGAAAGCGUGGGGAGCAAACAGG